Long non-coding RNA from Arabidopsis lyrata subsp. lyrata, 578 nucleotides. RefSeq lists it as uncharacterized. NCBI's taxonomy places the organism in Eukaryota, Viridiplantae, Streptophyta, Magnoliopsida, Brassicales, Brassicaceae. The transcript has 3 exons. The record is from RefSeq and is a predicted model, not a curated record.
UGGCUGAAACCGAGAAAAAAAAAAUCAUUUCCUUCUCGAUUCUUCUCCUCUCUUCUCUGUCUGCGAUUCGCGAAAACCUCUUCAUCGCGAAAAUCCGCCAUGGCUUCUGAGAAUCAUGAUGAAGUAAUGCUUCAUCCAGUCCAUAACCCAGCGAAAGGUGCAUAAUGACGAGAAUUUCUUUGUGGAAAUUCAGGGACGAAAUCAUCAAUCUUGAUGAAGCGGUAAUGAUGGGGAACACAUCAAACGAAAUCCCAACACUAGAAUCAGCAUCAAUGGAGAUAAGGGUACUUCCCUUACCAAACAUGAUAGACAAACAAAUGUCAUCACUGUUAGAGGAAUGACCAUCACAAAAGAAGAAAAGAAGAGAUACCAUGGAAUCAUUGUCAAGCUGCUUCGUGGGUAUAUACUCGAUCAAGUCAGUGAACCGACGAUGGGAUGUUAUUAUAUGUGUAGUGGCUCUGAUAGCAAUAUUGUAAGAGUUUUAUAAAUCAUAGAUUGCAAGUGAUUUUAGAUGACUUUGAAUCUUUUUAACUUUUAAGUAAAUUCCAUGUUCAAUAACAUGAGAUUUGUGAAUGUUU